RNAcentral lists this long non-coding RNA (795 nucleotides) under Homo sapiens (human). RNAcentral's name for it is "HSALNT0349064". The record is from RNAcentral. Lineage: Eukaryota; Metazoa; Chordata; Mammalia; Primates; Hominidae.
GCGAGCUGGACGGUGGACGGAGCUAGGUGGGCGGUGCGUGGCGCUCCCGCAAUCUCAGGAUACCCUGGCUGCUGGCGGGGCUACGGUGCUGGCUCGGGGUGAGUAAAAACAAAAUCAACGGCCAAAUGACUCAACUGCGAUUGUGCCAGUGAGAACCUCAGGAGCCUAGCAGAAGAUAACGCUGGGAAGGGUUCAAGGAGCUAAGCCGAGAGUUUUGGCUGCCCACCACAGACAGAGCCAGCUCUGGCCUGCUCUAUCUCUCAUUACUGUGAUGACGGCUGUAUCCAGAUGCUAAACACUCCAGAGACACUCCAAUGCAGUGCUAAAGACUCAAAACACUUCAUCCCCAAAGAAUGUAGCAUUCCAGGAGAAAACAGGCCUCCUUCUGACACUGGUAAAACUGUGAAGGUGUGUGAUAAAUCAGGGAUCAAAAUGAGAGGCCACAGAUUCUCUGCCCCUUACAGUGAAUCCUGCUCUUCUCUUUUCAAUGGAGUAACAGUCAUAUUUAAAAAAAAAAAAAAAAGUUUGUACAGACACACUAAUGGAAACAAUGACAAAAUAUAUUCAAACAUAAAGUGUUACAAUAGCUAGAGGCUGUUCUAGAUGGGAAUCAAAGAAUAAAUAGCUGGAGAUGUAACUAAGGAUAAAAACAUAUGAAACGUCUUGGGCUAUUUGAGGGGAUUAGUUUUGAGAGGGUGGGCAGGAAUAGUUUGUCCUUGGGGCAAUGGUUGCUUCCAUUUUCUUUCCUUCUGUUUUUCCUUGUUUUUCUUCCUUCUUUUCUCCCUCCCUUUCUCC